Molecule: unclassified non-coding RNA, 297 nt
Filed under: Hevea brasiliensis (rubber tree)
Lineage: Eukaryota; Viridiplantae; Streptophyta; Magnoliopsida; Malpighiales; Euphorbiaceae
Source: RNAcentral
AGUGAAUGUCUUCACUGACCUGCACUAAAAGCCAAAACAAAAACUUUUCUAAUGAAGAAGCACUAGCAGCAACAAAUAACUUGCCACCAAGUCAGUAACAGAAUUUUAUAAUUACAGCAGCCAGUUAACAUAGGUUGAUUAAGAAUUCAUCAGCGUUACUCAACCAAAUUUUUUCAGCUAAGAAUUCACCCUGCAAAAAAUUCCAUUUUUUAGAACUGCCACUUGGAAAAUCUUCUUCAGUUUUCCUCCUACUACUAAUCAAAUGAAAUCCCGAAUUUUUUCUAAAAAAAAAAAACU